ACCCUACAGAGCAUCAAUAAGAAGUUGGAACUGAAAGUGAAAGAACAGAAGGACUAUUGGGAGACAGAGCUGCUUCAACUGAAAGAACAAAACCAGAAGAUGUCCUCAGAAAAUGAGAAGAUGGGAAUCAGAGUGGAUCAGCUUCAGGCCCAGCUGUCAACUCAAGAGAAAGAAAUGGAGAAGCUUGUUCAGGCAGAUCAAGAUAAGACAGAGCAGUUAGAGCAGCUGAAAAAGGAAAAUGACCACCUCUUUCUCAGUUUAACUGAACAGGUAGAGUCAUGAGAGAAAACAACACUUUUAGGCAUUUGCAAGAAAAUAUACGUUGUUCUUUGUAUAAAGAACAUUUUAAUGUUCUUUAAUAUACCUGGAUGUCACUGGCUUUAGGAAAGGGCUCAGAGGAAGCUAUCUGAAAUGAGAUAGCUCAUGGCUUUCUUCAGAAACUGACGAGAGAAGACUUGCCUCUCCCUAUGCAUUCUGCUUGCUCAUUAGCUUAGCAGGCC
RNAcentral lists this small RNA (500 nucleotides) under Pan troglodytes (chimpanzee). Its description in RNAcentral is "retained intron". Lineage: Eukaryota; Metazoa; Chordata; Mammalia; Primates; Hominidae. The record is from RNAcentral.